AAAGUUUUCGAAUAUAUUUACUUUGCUUAACAAUUUAUUUGAUUAUUAUCAAAUUUGUCCUCUGCCCGAAAACCCUAGCACCUGCUUCAACGUAAUUCUACCAUCUCAGACUCAACACUUCCGCAUCACUUCCAGUUUCGGAGUUCCGUUCAAAUCGCGAGGUGAAAGUAAUGGAUGAGGGAAAACAUAAAUUGAGAAAAGAAGAAGGUGAUUCUAAGAGGAGUCAUCGUGAUCGAGAUCGCGAUAGAACUGGUGAAAGAGGUAAGGAAAAGGAUAGAAGUGAUGGUAGACAUAAGGAUAAUAGGGAGAAGAGGGAUCGUGAAUCUCGUAGACAUGAUAGAGAGAAAAGUACUGAUUCUGAUGAUAAGCAUGAUAGAGAGAGGGAGAAGCGGAGAGAUGUUAAAGAGAAGGAUAGGGCACGGGUUCAUGAUGUCGAUAGAGAAAAAGUGAGGGAUAGAAAGAGGGAAAGGGAUAGGGAAGAGAAAGAGAAGGAGAGAGUAAAGGAGAAAGAAAGAGAUAGGGAAGAGAAAGAAAAGGAGAGAGUGAGGGAUAGGGAAGAGAAGGAAAAGGAGAGAGUGAGGGAGAGGGAAGAGAAGGAAAAGGAGAGAGGGAGGGAGAGGGAAGAGAAGGAAAAGGAGAGAGGGAGGGAGAAAGAAAGAGAGAGGGAGAGAAAGGAGGAUAAGGAGAGGAUUAGAGAGAAAGAAAGGGUAAGGGAAAGGCGGGAUCAUGAGAGAGAGAAGGAAAAGGAAAAGGAAAGAGAUAAAGGGAGGAGAGGACGAGAGAGGGAGAAGCAUAGAGAUGUUGAUAGUGAAAACAGUGAUGGUGAGUUGAGGGAGAGAAAUCGGAAGCGGCAUAAGAAAGAGGACGAGGAUUAUAAGGGGAGAGAGAAGGAAAAGAGUUCUAGCAAAUCAAACAGGAAAAUUGAGGGACUUGAUGCAAGCCCUAGAAGAAAGAGUGACGGUGAUGACUCGGAUUCUAAAGACAGAGAGAAAAAACCUACCCGUGAGGAGGAGAUGGAAGAUGAGCAAAGGAGGUUGGACGAUGAAAUGGAAAAGCGGAGGAGAAGAGUUCAAGAGUGGCAAGAGUUAAGGAGGAAGAAGGAAGAAGCGGAAAGAGAAAAGCAAGGUGAAGCAAGUGCUGCUGAACUUGAGUCUGGAAAAGCAUGGACACUUGAAGGGGAGGAAUCUGAUGAUGAAGAUGGAACAGGUAAACAUACUGCUAUGGAUGUAGACGAUGACGACAAACUUGCUGAUAAGGAACCUAUGGAGUCGAUGGUGGUAGAUGUUGACAAUGUAACAGUUGCGCCUGAUUUACAAAAUGGAGAUACUGGUGCUCCUUCAGACGAGGAAAUAGACCCAUUGGAUGCUUUUAUGAAUUCUAUGGUUCUUCCUGAGGUUGAGAAGCUGAACAAUGCUGUUAACUCAACACCUUCUGAUAAAACUUCUGACUUGAAACCCAAAGAUAAAGGGGACGGACGUAGUAAUGGCGGGCAGUCAAGGAAAGGUUCAAGUAAAUCUAUUGGCAGGAUAAUUCCUGGCGAAGAGUCCGACUCAGAUUAUGCUGAUCCUGAAACUGACGGGGAUCCAGUAGAAGAAGAUGAUGACGAGUUCAUGAAAAGAGUGAAGAAAACGAAAGUUGAAAAACUUUCGAUAGUUGACCACUCAAAGAUUGACUAUAUACCAUUCAAAAAGAAUUUCUAUAUUGAAGUGAAGGAGGUCUCAAAAAUGACUCUCGAAGAAGUUGCAUUAUACAGGAAGCAGUUAGAGUUGAAGAUACAUGGAAAGGAUGUGCCCAAGCCUGUAAAGUCAUGGAACCAGACUGGACUUACGAGCAAAAUUUUGGAUACAAUAAAGAAGGCGAACUUUGAAAAGCCAAUGCCUAUUCAAGCUCAGGCGUUGCCUGUAAUUAUGAGUGGCCGAGAUUGCAUAGGCAUUGCCAAAACCGGGUCAGGUAAAACACUUGCUUUUGUUCUGCCAAUGUUGAGGCAUAUCAAGGAUCAGCCACCAGUUCUUGCAGGAGAUGGACCUAUUGGGCUUAUUAUGGCCCCUACAAGAGAACUUGUUCAACAGAUUCACAGUGAUAUAAAGAAGUUUACAAAGGUAAUGGGUAUCAGGUGUGUCCCAGUCUAUGGAGGCUCUGGUGUCGCUCAACAAAUCAGUGAGUUGAAACGUGGUACCGAGAUAGUUGUUUGUACUCCAGGUAGGAUGAUUGACAUACUAUGCACCAGUAGUGGGAAAAUAACUAACCUGCGUAGAGUCACCUAUCUGGUAAUGGAUGAGGCAGAUCGAAUGUUUGACAUGGGCUUUGAACCUCAAAUCACAAGAAUUGUUCAGAAUAUUCGGCCAGAUCGUCAAACAGUUCUCUUCUCUGCCACUUUUCCCCGUCAGGUUGAAAUUUUAGCUCGCAAGGUUUUGAAUAAACCUGUUGAAAUGCAAGUUGGUGGGAGGAGUGUUGUGAACAAAGAUAUUGCACAGUUAGUUGAAGUGAGGCCAGAAAAUGAGAGGUUCCUACGACUCUUGGAACUACUUGGAGAAUGGUACGAGAAGGGAAAGAUUUUAAUAUUUGUCCACUCACAGGAGAAAUGUGAUGCAUUGUUCAAGGAUCUACUCAGGCACGGAUAUCCUUGUCUUUCUCUUCAUGGAGCUAAGGAUCAAACAGACCGUGAAUCCACAAUAUCUGAUUUUAAAAGCAAUGUUUGCAAUUUGUUGGUUGCGACAAGUAUUGCUGCUAGGGGAUUAGAUGUCAAGGAGCUAGAAUUGGUAAUCAAUUUUGAUGUUCCAAACCACUAUGAAGAUUACGUACAUCGUGUUGGGCGCACUGGUCGUGCUGGCCGGAAAGGUUGUGCCAUCACAUUUAUUUCCGAAGAAGAUGCGAGAUAUGCACCAGAUCUGGUGAAAGCUUUGGAGCUGUCUGAGCAGAUUGUUCCCGAUGAUCUGAAAUCCCUUGCUGAUGGCUUUAUGGCGAAAGUGACUCAAGGACUGGAGCAAGCCCAUGGGACUGGUUAUGGAGGCAGUGGCUUUAAAUUUAAUGAAGAAGAAGAUGAGGUAAGGAAAGCAGCAAAGAAAGCUCAAGCCAAAGAAUAUGGAUUUGAAGAAGACAAGUCAGAUUCUGAAGAUGAAGAUGACGGUAUUAGGAAGGCAGGAGGUGAUAUCUCACAGCACCCUGCUCUUGCUCAGAUUAUUGCUGCGACAAAAGCAAAUGCUCCCUCAAUGCCUACUCCCAUCUCCGCAACCCAACUGAUUUCAAAUGGAGGGCUGCCUGUUUCUUUGCCUUCUGUUCUUGGUCUCCAGACUGCAACAGUCUUGCCUGGAACAGGGCUACCCCUUGCUACAAACGACGGGGCAGCUCGAGCUGCACUAGCUGCUAUAAACCUGCAGCACAACUUGGCAAAAAUACAAUCUGAAGCAUUGCCAGAGCAUUAUGAGGCCGAACUGGAAAUAAAUGAUUUCCCUCAGAAUGCUCGCUGGAAAGUCACACACAAGGAAACUUUAGGCCCCAUUUCGGAGUGGACUGGAGCUGCCAUUACCACUAGGGGACAGUAUUUCCCACCUGGCAAAGUUGCUGGACCUGGGGAUCGCAAACUCUAUUUGUUCAUUGAGGGUCCUAGUGAGCAGUCAGUUAAGAGAGCCAAAGUAGAACUGAAGCGUGUUUUGGAAGACAUCACUAAUCAGGCUUUGCAACUACCUGGUGGAACUCAACCAGGCAAAUACUCUGUUGUAUAAAGGUCAACCUGAAGGCAAAAUGAGACACUGUUAAACACUAUUGUCUCGCACCCCACUCCGGGACUAGUUGCACAUAUGACUGCCUUUCAUGCCCAUUCAUUCGCAUACAGUUAGGUAUUUCAAGCCCAUUCUCCUAUAUUCAAAUAUCGUUCCAUCCUUGCGCUUGAUUGUGGAUGGCUAUGGUGUUGAUCAUGGUGUGACUUUUUUUUCAUCUAGGUUUUGGUUCGAUGAUUUUUUUGGCUGGAAAAGGGAUACAAGAUGUGAUUGGGGAGAUCACACGAUUCAGUUUUUUUAUGUAGUUUCCUUGCUUCACUGGUUUGGAUUUCAGCACAUGUUCCAUAAAACAUAUCUUUAUAUCAUAUUUACCAUUUUAAUCGAUAUGAUAUCAUGGCAUCUAAUUCAUCAGUUUAGGCUCCAUAAAGUAGUCAUGGCACUUAUAAAAUCAUUGCUUUGCACUUACCCUUGUUCUUGGUGAAUUCAGCAAUUCUAUAUUUUGUGUUGUAAUUCCAAAGGAUGUUGUAAAAUUCUAUUUGGUUUGCUGAAAGUAUUUUCAUGAAUUACUGAUGAAAAACCAUCACCUUUAUUA
Lathyrus oleraceus (garden pea) is the source of this 4308-nucleotide RNA transcript. It is a transcript of the gene named DEAD-box ATP-dependent RNA helicase 42, with no coding region annotated. NCBI's taxonomy places the organism in Eukaryota, Viridiplantae, Streptophyta, Magnoliopsida, Fabales, Fabaceae. The transcript has 5 exons. The record is from RefSeq and is a predicted model, not a curated record.